AUCGUAACAAGGUCUCCGUUGGUGAACCAGCGGAGGGAUCAUUACCGAGUUAUACAACUCAUCAACCCUGUGAACAUACCUAAACGUUGCCUCGGCGGGAACAGACGGCCCCGUGAAACGGGCCGCCCCCGCCAGAGGACCCCCUAACUCUGUUUCUAUAAUGUUUCUUCUGAGUAAAACAAGCAAAUAAAUUAAAACUUUCAACAACGGAUCUCUUGGCUCUGGCAUCGAUGAAGAACGCAGCGAAAUGCGAUAAGUAAUGUGAAUUGCAGAAUUCAGUGAAUCAUCGAAUCUUUGAACGCACAUUGCGCCCGCCAGUAUUCUGGCGGGCAUGCCUGUUCGAGCGUCAUUACAACCCUCAGGCCCCCGGGCCUGGCGUUGGGGAUCGGCGGAGCCCCCCGUGGGCACACGCCGUCCCCCAAAUACAGUGGCGGUCCCGCCGCAGCUUCCAUCGCGUAGUAGCUAACACCUCGCGACUGGAGAGCGGCGCGGCCACGCCGUAAAACACCCCAACUCUUCUGAAGUU
Molecule: ribosomal RNA, 526 nt
Filed under: Fusarium solani
Lineage: Eukaryota; Fungi; Ascomycota; Sordariomycetes; Hypocreales; Nectriaceae
Description: eukaryotic LSU rRNA
Rfam family: 5.8S ribosomal RNA (bases 196-349)
Source: RNAcentral